This is a small nucleolar RNA of Rhineura floridana, 92 nucleotides long. RefSeq annotates it as small nucleolar RNA SNORD35. The transcript has a single exon. Lineage: Eukaryota; Metazoa; Chordata; Lepidosauria; Squamata; Rhineuridae. The record is from RefSeq and is a predicted model, not a curated record.
AGCAAGUGAUGUUUUUCUCACGAUGGUCUGCUGAGCCCACCCGGUGGAUGGGCUCUGACGAAAUUGCCAUAUGGCUUAACUGAUGCUUCUUG